GAGUUCCGGGGGCCAGGCGGUCGCCGCGAGUCUGGUAUCCUGAGCUUCGUGAGUUGAGCGCUGCUGCUCCGCAGUGGAGUCACCACGUCGCUCCCAUGAUCAUGGUGUUCUACUUCACCAGGAGCAGCGUUAAUUCAUCUGCCUACACUAUUUACAUGGGAAAAGAUAAAUAUGAAAAUGAAGAUCUGAUCAAGCAUGGCUGGCCUGAAGAUAUCUGGUUUCAUGUGGACAAACUCUCUUCAGCUCAUGUAUACCUUCGAUUACAUAAGGGAGAGAAUAUAGAAGACAUUCCAAAGGAAGUGCUGAUGGACUGUGCCCACCUUGUGAAGGCCAAUAGCAUUGAAGGCUGCAAGAUGAACAACGUUAAUGUGGUAUAUACUCUGUGAUCUAACCUGAAGAAAACAGCUGACAUGGAUGUGGGGCAGAUAGGCUUUCACAGGCAGAAGGAUGUAAAAAUUGUGACAGUAGAGAAGAAAGUAAACGAGAUCGUGAGCCGAUUAGAAAAGACUAAAGUGGAGCGGUUCCCAGACCUAGCAGCAGAGAAAGAAUGCAGAGAUCGUGAAGAAAGGAAUGAGAAAAAAACCCAAAUUCAGGAAAUGAAAAGGAGAGAAAAAGAAGAAAUGAAGAAGAAGAGGGAAAUGGAUGAACUUAGGAGCUAUUCAUCACUAAUGAAAGUUGAAAAUAUGUCUUCAAAUCAGGAUGGCAAUGAUUCAGAUGCAUCAUGUAAAAGGAGGAAAGGACCUUUGAAAGAUGUGAAUGUAGAGACAAUUGCAGACCUUUUGGUUUCAUCCGUGUUCUGAAGUAUAAAAUACAACCAAAAUUCUACCCUCAUCCUACCCAGAAAUUAUAGAUUUUCAAGUUUUAAAAAAAUUGUACCUUUUUUGCUGACAGAAAAGCAUCAGAUAUGUAUAAAAUAGUUGAACUUGACAGCAUACAACCUAAGCUGAAAAUGUUUUUGCCAGAACAUGUCUUGGUACCUUGUGAAAGCAGGCUGCCCUUGUUCUUGAGAUAGACUUUAAAAUGAACCAACUCUGAAAAGUACUUCUGUUGCUCUGAUCUAUCCCUGAAAACAGAUGUCUUGAAACACUUUUCAUAUUCUUAAAACAAUCUUCACUUCUGUUAAGAAGAACAUGUUGGUGGGUAAUUAUACAAAUGUUUUCCUGUCCCUGAUCUCCCGAUUAGAAAAAAGGGCGUAUGGGUUUUGAAAAAGAGAUUUUUCAGAAGAUUGUAAGCUUCAAUAUUCACGUUCCAUCAUGUCAUCUGGGUGUGUUAGUAUAGUGACCCUCAACGCACUCUAUCUCAGCUUUUAUGUCCUUGCUUCCUCUGAGCAGGAGCCUCCAUCUUAGUAUCAUCAUAUUUAAAGAAAUUGAUGGUGUUCAUCAAUGUGGGGCCUGUGGCAGUUGUUGCCUGAGCACCAAGUAACCCAAGCCACCUGUGUGACAACUUCUGGGCCCAGGAGUAAUUUCUCAGCAUUGAGGGUAAAAUAGGAUGGAGUGCUCUGUUGAUCAUUUGGGAGAUGUAGGCUACCUGAUUUGUGCCUUGGGAUGCAGCGUGAAGCAGAAGUCCAUUUUGCAAUCAUGAGUUUAGAA
Molecule: RNA transcript, 1589 nt
Organism: Cercocebus atys (sooty mangabey)
Lineage: Eukaryota; Metazoa; Chordata; Mammalia; Primates; Cercopithecidae
Gene name: coiled-coil domain-containing protein 25 pseudogene
Exons: 1
Source: RefSeq, a predicted model, not a curated record